This 596-nucleotide long non-coding RNA is filed under the name Cyanistes caeruleus (blue tit). RNAcentral's name for it is "lncRNA (ENSCCEG00000019501.1)". Lineage: Eukaryota; Metazoa; Chordata; Aves; Passeriformes; Paridae. The record is from RNAcentral.
GUAUUCCCUACCUCCAUUCUCUUUCCUCUAGGUGCUCUGUAUUAGAAGAGCAGGAAUGAAGUAAAAUACUGAGGAAUCCAGGAGCAGUUCUGUGAGUGCUUUGGAUGGUUCCAAGCUUGACUUCCAUAAAACACUUAGCAGGUCGAAAUGCAGGUUUUAUUUUUCCAGUUGUGACCUUCAGUACCUAUCCUGUGUCUUUUAAGAAUUUCCUCAUCCAGGGAACAGAUUUGUUGGCUUAAGAAUAACUGAUACUGCCACAUUCUGCAGAAGGCGAGCUCUCUGCUCCUCUGCCCAGCAGAACCAGUUUUGGUUACAGUUGUUUGCUGUGGUGCUUGCUCUUUGGCACUUCCUUGCUUUUUUUUUGCCAGUAGAAAUGUGCAGAAUGGUGCCCAACUGUGAGCUGGAAACUGGGAUCGUGCCUGUAGUUUUCAACCCAAGCAAAGGGUCUACAAGAGUGUUGGUCACCUGUUGAUUAAAGAAUUAAAUCUCAGCAAACUCCAGCCUGAAUGAUACGUCUAAUGACCGACCUCACUUGGAGGGAACAGUGCCAUGUUGUGAUGGAAUAAAGUGUCAGCAUGUCUUAGGUAAAUAAGACA